GAUGAACGCUGGCGGCGUGCCUAAUACAUGCAAGUCGAGCGAACAGACGCGGAGCUUGCUCCUCUGACGUUAGCGGCGGACGGGAGUGUAACACGUGGAUACCCUACCUAUCAGACUGGGAAAACUUCGGGACACCGGCUCUAAUCCCGGAUAAGCUCUUGAACCGUAUGGUUGAAUAGUGAGAGACGGCUGUGCUGGCACGUAUAGCUGCAUACCCGCCGCUUUGGCUAGUUGGUAAGGUCAAGGCUUACCACGGCAACGAUGCGUAGACGACGUGAGAGGGUGAUCGGCCACACUGGAACGGAGACACGGUCCAGAGUCCUACGGGAGGCAGCAGAAGGGAAUCUGCCGCAAUGGGCGAAAGCCUGACGGAGCAACGCGGCGUGAGUGAUAAAGGUCUUCGGAGCGUAAAACUCUGUUAUUAGGGAAGAACAAAUGUGUAAGUAACUAUGCACGGCUUGACGGUACCUAAUCAGAAAGCCACGGCUAACUACGUG
RNAcentral lists this ribosomal RNA (497 nucleotides) under uncultured bacterium. RNAcentral's name for it is "partial 16S ribosomal RNA". It matches the Rfam family "Bacterial small subunit ribosomal RNA", at positions 28 to 507 of the family's 1533-position model. The record is from RNAcentral.